Molecule: long non-coding RNA, 779 nt
Filed under: Brachypodium distachyon (stiff brome)
Lineage: Eukaryota; Viridiplantae; Streptophyta; Magnoliopsida; Poales; Poaceae
Description: long non-coding RNA (BDIS_LNC003943)
Source: RNAcentral
CACGGCAGGUGAUCAACGUGCUCAACUGCGAGGGGGCAGAGAUGGACAUCAUCCUGGCAGAGGUCGACCUGCCUGUCUCCAAGUGCUUCAAGAUGCUCAAGUACAUUGCCAGGAACAAGGAACUGCGCCACAUCCCCAUCAUCAGUAAGAUGUCUCCAUGUUCCCUAGUUUUCUCCAGUUCCCGUGACAUGCUUGUAGUGAUCAUAGUCCUACUGAUGCAAUUAUGCAGUGAUGUCCAACAGAGACGAAGUUUCUGUUGUGGUCAAGUGCUUGCGGCUCGGGGCAGCCGAGUAUCUGGUCAAGCCGCUGCGCAUGAAUGAGCUGUUGAAUCUCUGGACCCAUGUGUGGCGACGAAGACGGAUGGUAAAUGGCACCUGUUAAUAUAUCUCCAUCUGUAUUAAAAGCUUGCUCUAAGCUGGUAUCGAUUGUUGUUAAACUGGAUAUUGGUGUUGGCAGCUUGGCUUGGCCGAGAAAAACUUCUUCAUUGACAAUCUUGAGUUGGUGCUGUCGGAUCCUAGUGACGCCAAUACCAAUAGCACCACACUCCUUUCAGAUGAGACAGAUGAUAGGCCAAAAGAAAACACAAAUCAUGAAACAAAUACCUCAAAUCAACAUGAAUAUGAGGUAAUCAACUAAUUAAUCUUUAGUAAGUUGUAUGUUAUCUGUAUCUUAGCAUCUUUCAAAUUUUGUAUUUGCUGCUAAAGUGCCCCCUUUUACUUCAUAUGCUUCAUAAUGAUGAGGUGCUGACCUCCAUGCAUUAAGCUAUUUGUUAAAAACCC